UUUUUAACUUCUACACCUAAAAAUAAUCUUAAUCCAACAUCGAGGUCGCAAUCCUUUUUAUCGAUAUGUUCUCUCUAAAAAUAUUACGCUGUUAUCCCUUAAGUAACUUAAUCUUAUAAUCAUUAAUAAUGGAUCAAAUCAUUAAUCUAUGAAAAAAAGUUUUUUAAAUUUUCCUAUCACCCCAAUAAAAUAUUAUAUUAAGCUUUAAAGGGUCUUCUCGUCCUCUAAUUCUAUUUAAGCUUUUUAACUUAAAAAUUAAAUUUUAAAACAAUUAAAAUAAGACAGUUAAUAUUUCAUUCAAUCAUUCAUUCCAGCUUCUAAUUAAGAAACUAUUGAUUAUGCUACCUUUGCACAGUCAAAAUACCGCGGCCU
RNAcentral lists this ribosomal RNA (372 nucleotides) under Myodopsylla trisellis. RNAcentral's name for it is "partial 16S ribosomal RNA". Lineage: Eukaryota; Metazoa; Arthropoda; Insecta; Siphonaptera; Ischnopsyllidae. The record is from RNAcentral.